This 494-nucleotide ribosomal RNA is filed under the name uncultured bacterium. RNAcentral's name for it is "bacterial SSU rRNA". It matches the Rfam family "Bacterial small subunit ribosomal RNA", at positions 30 to 521 of the family's 1533-position model. The record is from RNAcentral.
AUUGAACGCUGGCGGCAUGCCUAACACAUGCAAGUCGAACGGAGGUAGGGGCAACUCUACUUCAGUGGCGGACGGGUGAGGAAUGCGUCGGAAUCUACCCUAUGGUGGGGGAUAACACAGGGAAACUUGUGCUAAUACCGCAUGAUGUCGAGAGACCAAAGCAGGGGACCGCAAGGCCUUGCGCGAUAGGAUGAGCCGACGCCCGAUUAGCUAGUUGGUAGGGUAAUGGCCUACCAAGGCGACGAUCGGUAGCUGGUCUGAGAGGAUGAUCAGCCACACUGGGACUGAGACACGGCCCAGACUCCUACGGGAGGCAGCAGUGGGGAAUAUUGGACAAUGGGCGAAAGCCUGAUCCAGCAAUGCCGCGUGUGUGAAGAAGGCCUGCGGGUUGUAAAGCACUUUUGUUCGGGAAGAAAACGGAUCGGUUAAUACCCGGUUCGGAUGACGGUACCGAAAGAAUAAGCACCGGCUAACUUCGUGCCAGCAGCCGCGGU